This 62-nucleotide transfer RNA is filed under the name Priestia megaterium. RNAcentral's name for it is "Bacillus megaterium tRNA-Ile". It matches the Rfam family "tRNA", at positions 8 to 63 of the family's 71-position model. From Rfam's summary of the family: Transfer RNA (tRNA) molecules are approximately 80 nucleotides in length. Their secondary structure includes four short double-helical elements and three loops (D, anti-codon, and T loops). Lineage: Bacteria; Bacillati; Bacillota; Bacilli; Caryophanales; Bacillaceae. The record is from RNAcentral.
GUAGCUCAUUUUGGUAGAGCCCAAGUCUGAUAAGCGUGAGGUCGGUGGUUCAAGUCCACUUA